Molecule: ribosomal RNA, 402 nt
Filed under: Trachylepis affinis (Senegal mabuya)
Lineage: Eukaryota; Metazoa; Chordata; Lepidosauria; Squamata; Scincidae
Description: partial 12S ribosomal RNA
Rfam family: Bacterial small subunit ribosomal RNA
Source: RNAcentral
UGCUCAGCCCUCAACAUAGACAGUAAAUACACAAUACUGUCCGCCAGAGAACUACAAGUGAAAAACUAGAAACUCCAAGGACUUGGCGGUGCUCCAUACCGACCUAGAGGAGCCUGUCCUAUAAUCGAUAAUCCACGUUUUACCUUACCGCCUCUUGCAAAUCAGCCUAUAUACUGCCGUCGUCAGCUUACCUUAUGAAAGAAACAAAGUAAGCAAAACAGUUAACAACUAAAACGUCAGGUCAAUGUGUAGCAUAUGAGACGGAAGAGAUGGGCUACACUUUCUAUUACAGAAUAUACGAACAGUACAAUGAAACCUGUACUUAAAGGUGGAUUUAGUAGUAAGACAAACAAGAAAAUUUGCCUGAAACCCGCUCUGGAGCGCGCACACACCGCCCGUCAC